This 913-nucleotide ribosomal RNA is filed under the name metagenome. Its description in RNAcentral is "bacterial SSU rRNA". It matches the Rfam family "Bacterial small subunit ribosomal RNA", at positions 18 to 971 of the family's 1533-position model. The record is from RNAcentral.
CCUGGCUCAGAAUAAACGCUAGUAAUAUGCUUAACACAUGCAAGUCGAACGGAAAAGUUAUUUUCCGUGGCGAACGGGUGAGGAAUGCGUGAGAAUCUACCUUAUAGACCGGAAUAAGUAUAACUUUUAAGUGAACACUUACUUUGUAAGUGGUAUGAAUACCGGAUAAUAGACUAAGUCGCUAUAAGAUGAGCUUUCGUAGGAUUAGGUAGUUGGUAAGGUAAAGGCUUACCAAGCUGAAGAUCCUUAGCUGGUCUGAGAGGAUGAUCAGCCACACUGGGACUGAGACACGGCCCAGACUCCCUUAGGAGGCAGCAGUGAGGAAUCUUGGACAAUGGGCGAAAGCCUGAUCCAGCAAUAUUACGUGAGUGAUGACAGCUAUUUGGUUGUAAAGCUCUUUCACCGAGGAGGACAAUGACAGUACUCGAAGAAGAAGUCCCGGCUAACUCCGUGCCAGCAGCCGCGGUAAUACGGGGGGGACAAGUGUUAUUCGGAAUGACUGGGUGUAAAGAGUCUGUAGGCGGUUUUUUAAGUUGAAAUAUAAAUCUUGUAGCUUGACUUCAAGAAAGGUUUCAAAACUGAAAGACUAGAGUUUGAUAGGGGAAAGUAGAAUUUCUAAUGGAGGGAUAAAAUUCAUAGAGAUUAGAAGGAAUACCAGAGGCGAAGGCGACUUUCUGGAUCAAAACUGACGCUGAGAGACGAAAGCAUGGGUAGCGAACAGGAUUAGAUACCCUGGUAGUCCAUAGCUGUAAACGAUGAGUGCUCGUAUUUAGGGUCAAUCUUAGAUACUAAGCUAACGCGUUAAGCACUCCACCUGGGGAGUACGGUCGCAAGACUGAAACUCAAAGGAAUUGACGGGGGCCCACACAAGCGGUGGAGCAUGUGGUUUAAUUCGACAAUACGCGCAGAACCU